UGGCUCAGGAUGAACGCUAGCGACAGGCUUAACACAUGCAAGUCGAGGGCAGCAUAAAAGUAGCAAUACGUUGGUGGCGACCGGCGCACGGGUGAGUAACGCGUAUGCAACCUACCUAUCGAGAGGGGAAUAACCCGGCGAAAGUCGGACUAAUACCGCAUAAACAGGGGCACCGCAUGGUGAUAUUUGUUAAAGAAAUUCGCUGAUAGAUGGGCAUGCGUUCCAUUAGGUAGUUGGUGAGGUAACGGCUCACCAAGCCGACGAUGGAUAGGGAACUGAGAGGUUGGUCCCCCACACUGGUACUGAGACACGGACCAGACUCCUACGGGAGGCAGCAGUGAGGAAUAUUGGUCAAUGGGCGGGAGCCUGAACCAGCCAAGUCGCGUGAAGGAAGAAGGAUCUAUGGUUCGUAAACUUCUUUUGCAGGGGAAUAAAGUGCAGGACGUGUCCUGUUUUGUAUGUACCCUGAGAAUAAGGAUCGGCUAACUCCGUGCCAGCCGCAGC
Molecule: ribosomal RNA, 504 nt
Filed under: uncultured bacterium
Lineage: Bacteria
Description: bacterial SSU rRNA
Rfam family: Bacterial small subunit ribosomal RNA
Source: RNAcentral